This 1346-nucleotide ribosomal RNA is filed under the name uncultured bacterium. Its description in RNAcentral is "partial 16S ribosomal RNA". It matches the Rfam family "Bacterial small subunit ribosomal RNA", at positions 28 to 1381 of the family's 1533-position model. The record is from RNAcentral.
GACGAACCCUGGCGGCGUGCUUAACACAUGCAAGUCGAACGGAAAGGCCCUGCUUUUGUGGGGUGCUCGAGUGGCGAACGGGUGAGUAACACGUGAGUAACCUGCCCUUGACUUUGGGAUAACUUCAGGAAACUGGGGCUAAUACCGGAUAGGAGCUCCUGCUGCAUGGUGGGGGUUGGAAAGUUUCGGCGGUUGGGGAUGGACUCGCGGCUUAUCAGCUUGUUGGUGGGGUAGUGGCUUACCAAGGCUUUGACGGGUAGCCGGCCUGAGAGGGUGACCGGCCACAUUGGGACUGAGAUACGGCCCAGACUCCUACGGGAGGCAGCAGUGGGGAAUAUUGCACAAUGGGCGGAAGCCUGAUGCAGCAACGCCGCGUGCGGGAUGACGGCCUUCGGGUUGUAAACCGCUUUCGCCCGUGACGAAGCGUGAGUGACGGUAAUGGGUAAAGAAGCACCGGCUAACUACGUGCCAGCAGCCGCGGUGAUACGUAGGGUGCGAGCGUUGUCCGGAUUUAUUGGGCGUAAAGGGCUCGUAGGUGGUUGAUCGCGUCGGAAGUGUAAUCUUGGGGCUUAACCCUGAGCGUGCUUUCGAUACGGGUUGACUUGAGGAAGGUAGGGGAGAAUGGAAUUCCUGGUGGAGCGGUGGAAUGCGCAGAUAUCAGGAGGAACACCAGUGGCGAAGGCGGUUCUCUGGGCCUUUCCUGACGCUGAGGAGCGAAAGCGUGGGGAGCGAACAGGCUUAGAUACCCUGGUAGUCCACGCCGUAAACGGUGGGUACUAGGUGUGGGGUCCACUCCACGGGUUCCGUGCCGUAGCUAACGCUUUAAGUACCCCGCCUGGGGAGUACGGCCGCAAGGCUAAAACUCAAAGGAAUUGACGGGGCCCCGCACAAGCGGCGGAGCAUGCGGAUUAAUUCGAUGCAACGCGUAGAACCUUACCUGGGUUUGACAUGGAUCGGGAGUGCUCAGAGAUGGGUGUGCCUCUUUUGGGGUCGGUUCACAGGUGGUGCAUGCCUGUCGUCAGCUCGUGUCGUGAGAUGUUGGGUUAAGUCCCGCAACGAGCGCAACCCUUGUUCACUGUUGCCAGCACGUUAUGGUGGGGACUCAGUGGAGACCGCCGGGGUCAACUCGGAGGAAGGUGGGGAUGACGUCAAGUCCCCAUGCCCCUUAUGUCCAGGGCUUCACGCAUGCUACAAUGGCUGGUACAGAGAGUGGCGAGCCUGUGAGGGUGAGCGAAUCUCGGAAAGCCGGUCUCAGUUCGGAUUGGGGUCUGCAACUCGACCUCAUGAAGUCGGAGUCGCUAGUAAUCGCAAAUGAGCAACGCUGCGGUGAAUACGUUCCCGGGGCU